AAAUAAAACUAGAAAAUGAGUGGUUCAUAUACAACUAUCGGUAUUUGGAGCAAAACAAUAUUUAGGUGGCUCAACCCUAUUUUCAAAAAGGGUCGGUGUGAAGAACUUGAAUUGGAAGAUGUACAACCAAUUCCUACAUUGAAGACUCCUAAUCAAGCAUAUGCAUUGCUUGAAGAGACUUUGAGUAAGCAGACAACCCCGGAGGUACCGUAAAUUCCUCAACUAGAGACUAAUGAAGCAUCUCCAUUGCUUGAAAACUCUUUGAGUAAGUCUAUUUCCCUACGAAUGGCCCUGUUAAGUGCAAUUUGGAGGCCCCUAGCCAUAAAUGCAUUUUUUUUUGUAAUUCCUUUUAAUCCCUCCAAAGUAAUUAAUCAUUAAUUUAGAGCAUUAGUUGUUAUGUACUCACAUGACUACAAUGGAUAAUGAUGAUGUAGAAUCAUCGUUAACAUUAAACAUUAUAGUACCGUGCAUAACUACCAAUAAAUAAAUAAAUAAAUUUGAGGAUAUAGUUAUAGACUUAACAAUAGAUAAUAUGUUCAAUAAAAUAUUGACCACUACUACAAAAGUUAGCUAUUGUGGUAACCUGGAGCAUUUAUUAUAC
RNAcentral lists this long non-coding RNA (601 nucleotides) under Erythranthe guttata (spotted monkey flower). RNAcentral describes it as "long non-coding RNA (EGUT_LNC001970)". Lineage: Eukaryota; Viridiplantae; Streptophyta; Magnoliopsida; Lamiales; Phrymaceae. The record is from RNAcentral.